AUGGAAGGCACAGAGUGUCUCCCGUGGAAACCCCAUCCUCGUCACCACCCAGACACUGGGCAUCCUGGCCGCAACUGCCUCCCAGCCGCCGCCUGGAGCUGCGUGGGUGGCUGCUUCUCCCCAGCAGAGCCAAGAUGUGAGUCUACUCGCAGAGCCAUAGGGGCUUUGGGAGAGCAAGCAGGGGAGGGUUCGUACGUCAUUCGCCCCGUCUCCCUCAAUGUGCUCGCAGCUGGAGGUGCACAGAAUGGUUUUAGGGAGUCCGUGAACACACAGUUGGGCUCUUUUCUCCCAAUGAUCAAAUAAUGACUCCUUAAAUGUAUCUUUAAAAAAGUUUUUUUUAACAUUUAUUUAUUUUUGAGAGACAGAACAUGAGCGGGGGAGGGGCAGAGAGAGAGAGGGAGACACAGAAUCCACAGUGGGAUCCAGGCUCUGAGCUGUCAGCACAGAGCCCGACGCAGGGCUUGAACCCACGAACCAUGAGAUCAUGACCUGAGCCGAAGUCAGAAGCUCAACUGACUGAGCCGGCCAGGCGCCCCCUCCUUAAAUGUAUCUUUGAAAAAACUUCUAAUGGACAAAUCAAACCCUUAAUUUGAUUCACAUUAUAAUUUAGGAUGAGGCGAUAUAUAUUCGAGUUAAAAAACACAAGUUGAUUUAAAGGAAAAUAUUCAGCAAAUAAUAAAAUAUGUGCAGUGUGGACA
RNAcentral lists this long non-coding RNA (698 nucleotides) under Felis catus (domestic cat). RNAcentral describes it as "lncRNA (ENSFCAG00000049916.1)". Lineage: Eukaryota; Metazoa; Chordata; Mammalia; Carnivora; Felidae. The record is from RNAcentral.